GUCAAAGAUGAAAACCUGGAAUAGGAAGUGCCGUCUGAUUCGACAACUGACGACUUUUCCCAUACUUUCUGAGU
Molecule: small nucleolar RNA, 74 nt
Organism: Lampris incognitus (smalleye Pacific opah)
Lineage: Eukaryota; Metazoa; Chordata; Actinopteri; Lampriformes; Lampridae
Product: small nucleolar RNA SNORD49
Exons: 1
Source: RefSeq, a predicted model, not a curated record